GUCCCUAUAGCGCAAUGGAUAGCGUGUUGGACUUCUAAUCCAAAGGUCGUGGCUCUGAAUCCCACCUGGGAUA
Molecule: transfer RNA, 73 nt
Filed under: Trichonephila inaurata madagascariensis
Lineage: Eukaryota; Metazoa; Arthropoda; Arachnida; Araneae; Nephilidae
Rfam family: tRNA
About the family: Transfer RNA (tRNA) molecules are approximately 80 nucleotides in length. Their secondary structure includes four short double-helical elements and three loops (D, anti-codon, and T loops).
Source: Rfam by way of RNAcentral